AGAGUUUGAUCAUGGCUCAGAUUGAACGUUGGCGGCACGCUUAAUACAUGCAAGUCGAACGAGAAAGCACCUUCGGGUGCGAGUAAAGUGGCGGACGGGUGAGUAACGCGUAGGAAUCUACCCAGUAGUAGGGGACAACUCGGGGAAACUCGAGCUAAUACCGUAUGUCAUCCUUCUUCUUACGAAGAGGGAUCAAAGAGGGCCUAUCCUUGGAAGCUCUCGCUAUUGGAGGAGCCUGCGUUGGAUUAGCUUGUUGGUGAGGUAAAAGCUCACCAAGGCGACGAUCCAUAGCUGGUCUGAGAGGACGACCAGCCACACUGGAACUGAGACACGGUCCAGACUCCUACGGGAGGCAGCAGUAGGGAAUCUUGGUCAAUGGGCGCAAGCCUGAACCAGCGAUGCCGCGUGUGUGAAGAAGGCCUUCGGGUUGUAAGCACUUUCAGUGGUGAAGAAAAGCUAGAGAUUAAUACUCUCGAGUCUUGACGUUAACCACACAAGAAGCACCGGCUAACUCCGUGCCAGCAGCCGCGGUAAUAUGGAGGGUGCGAACGUUAAUCGGAAUUACUGGGCGUAAAGCGCGCGUAGGCGGUUCGGUAAGUGGGAUGUGAAAGCCCCGGGCUCAACCUGGGAACUGCAUUCCAAACUGCAGGACUAGAGUAUGGUAGAGGGAGGUAGAAUUUCCCGUGUAGCGGUGAAAUGCGUAGAUAUAGGAAGGAAUACCGAUGGCGAAGGCAGCCUCCUGGACCAAUACUGACGCUGAGGUGCGAAAGCGUGGGGAGCAAACAGGA
Molecule: ribosomal RNA, 788 nt
Filed under: uncultured Gammaproteobacteria bacterium
Lineage: Bacteria; Pseudomonadati; Pseudomonadota; Gammaproteobacteria
Description: bacterial SSU rRNA
Rfam family: Bacterial small subunit ribosomal RNA
Source: RNAcentral